GGACGUGGCUCAAUCGGUAGAGUGCUUGCCUGGCAUGCAUGAAGCUUGGGGUUCAAUCCUCAGCACUG
RNAcentral lists this transfer RNA (68 nucleotides) under Mus musculus (house mouse). RNAcentral describes it as "tRNA-Ala". The stretch from base 6 to 62 matches the Rfam family "tRNA", at positions 8 to 63 of the family's 71-position model. Rfam says of the family: Transfer RNA (tRNA) molecules are approximately 80 nucleotides in length. Their secondary structure includes four short double-helical elements and three loops (D, anti-codon, and T loops). Lineage: Eukaryota; Metazoa; Chordata; Mammalia; Rodentia; Muridae. The record is from RNAcentral.